GCCCGCCUAGCUCAAUCGGAUAGAGCGUCAGACUCUUAUGAGCGGGUAUCUGAAGGCUGCGAGUUCGACCCUCGCGGUGGGCU
Marasmius sp. AFHP31 is the source of this 83-nucleotide non-coding RNA. The record is from the annotation of a GenBank genome assembly. Lineage: Eukaryota; Fungi; Basidiomycota; Agaricomycetes; Agaricales; Marasmiaceae.